ACAAAGAACAAAUCUCUCACAAACGUAUUCAGAUUUGGAAUGAAAUUAAAACAAGAGUGUACAGGGAUUCCAAGCAAUCAUAUUUAGCUCAAUUCAAAUAAGAAGGUUAGAUAAAUUCAAUGUCAAAAUAAAUGAACUGGAAUAGGCACAUAUCAGGAGCAAAUGCGGAACAAUGGAAUAUACAUGUGUCUAUAUGGGUCAAUACGAUAUAGCAUAAACAUUCCACAAUAGUUU
RNAcentral lists this long non-coding RNA (234 nucleotides) under Musa acuminata (dwarf banana). RNAcentral describes it as "long non-coding RNA (MACU_LNC010791)". Lineage: Eukaryota; Viridiplantae; Streptophyta; Magnoliopsida; Zingiberales; Musaceae. The record is from RNAcentral.